GAUGAACGCUGGCGGCGUGCCUAAUACAUGCAAGUCGAGCGACCAGACGAGGAGCUUGUUCCUCUGACGUUAGCGGCGGACGGGUGAGUAACACGUGGAUAACCUACUUAUUAUACUGGGAUAACUUCGGGAAACCGGAGCUAAUACCGGAUAAUAUAUUCAACCGCAUAGUUCAAUAGUGAAAGACGGUUUUGCCGUCUCUUAUAGAUGGUUCCGCGCCGCAUGAGCUAGUUGGUAAGGUAACGGCUUACCAAGGCAACGAUGCGUAGCCGACCUGAUGGAGUGACCGCCAACCGUGGACCGGAGACCGGGCCCAGACUCCUAGGGGAGGCAGCGUGAGGGAUUCUUCCGCAAUGGGCGAAAGCCUGUCGAAGCAACGCGGCGUGGGUGAUGAGGGUCUCCGGUUCGUAAAACUCUGUUAUGAGAGAAGAACAAAUGUGUAAGUAACUAUGCACGUCUUGACGGUACCUAAUCAGAAAGCCACGCCUAACUACGU
This 496-nucleotide ribosomal RNA is filed under the name uncultured bacterium. Its description in RNAcentral is "partial 16S ribosomal RNA". It matches the Rfam family "Bacterial small subunit ribosomal RNA", at positions 28 to 506 of the family's 1533-position model. The record is from RNAcentral.